RNAcentral lists this ribosomal RNA (1441 nucleotides) under uncultured Pelagibacterales bacterium. Its description in RNAcentral is "bacterial SSU rRNA". It matches the Rfam family "Bacterial small subunit ribosomal RNA". Lineage: Bacteria; Pseudomonadati; Pseudomonadota; Alphaproteobacteria; Candidatus Pelagibacterales. The record is from RNAcentral.
AGGGUUUGAUUAUGGCUCAGAACGUACGCUGGCGGCACGCCUAACACAUGCAAGUCGAACGAAGUAGCAAUACUUAGUGGCAGACGGGUGAGUAACAUGUAGGUAUCUGCCCUUUGGCCUGGAAUAACACGAGGAAACUUGUGCUAAUACCGGAUAAGUCUUUACGGAGAAAGCUUUAUGCACCAUUGGAUGAGCCUGCACUUGAUUAGUUUGUUGGUGGGGUAAUGGCCUACCAAGACUGUGAUCAAUAGCUGAUUUGAGAGGAUGAUCAGCCACAUUGGGACUGAGACACGGCCCAAACUCCUACGGGAGGCAGCAGUGGGGAAUCUUGCACAAUGGAGGAAACUCUGAUGCAGCGAUGCCGCGUGAGUGAAGAAGGCCCUUGGGUUGUAAAGCUCUUUCGUCGGGGAAGAAAAUGACUGUACCCGAAUAAGAAGGUCCGGCUAACUUCGUGCCAGCAGCCGCGGUAAUACGAAGGGACCUAGCGUAGUUCGGAAUUACUGGGCUUAAAGAGUUCGUAGGUGGUUGAAAAAGUUAGUGGUGAAAUCCCAGAGCUUAACUCUGGAACUGCCAUUAAAACUUUUCAGCUAGAGUAUGAUAGAGGAAAGCAGAAUUUCUAGUGUAGAGGUGAAAUUCGUAGAUAUUAGAAAGAAUACCAAUUGCGAAGGCAGCUUUCUGGAUCAUUACUGACACUGAGGAACGAAAGCAUGGGUAGCGAAGAGGAUUAGAUACCCUCGUAGUCCAUGCCGUAAACGAUGUGUGUUAGACGUUGGAAAUUUAUUUUCAGUGUCGCAGGGAAACCGAUAAACACACCGCCUGGGGAGUACGACCGCAAGGUUAAAACUCAAAUGAAUUGACGGGGACCCGCACAAGUAGUGGAGCAUGUGGUUUAAUUCGAAGAUACGCGCAGAACCUUACCAACACUUGACAUGUUCGUCGCGACUCUAAGAGAUUAGAGUUUUCGGUUCGGCCGGACGAAACACAGGUGCUGCAUGGCUGUCGUCAGCUCGUGUCGUGAGAUGUUGGGUUAAGUCCCGCAACGAGCGCAACCCUCACUUUUAGUUGCCAUCAUUAAGUUGGGCACUCUGAAAGAACUGCCAGUGAUAAGCUGGAGGAAGGUGGGGAUGACGUCAAGUCCUCAUGGCCCUUACGUGUUGGGCUACACACGUGCUACAAUGGUAUCUACAACAGGAAGCAAGACUGCGAAGUUAAGCAAAUCCCUAAAAGAUACCUCAGUUCGGAUUGCACUCUGCAACUCGAGUGCAUGAAGCUGGAAUUACUAGUAAUCGUGGAUCAGCGUGCCACGGUGAAUGCGUUCCCGGGUCUUGUACACACCGCCCGUCACACCAUGGGAGUUGGUUCUACCUUAAGGCAAGGUUUCAAACCCUUGACCACGGUAUAGUCAGCGACUGGGGUGAAGUCGUAACAAGGUAGCCAAUCG